CAUUAUAUCAGUCUUAGUUUAUUAGAAAUAUUUUACUACUUGGAUAACCGUAGUAAUUCUAGGGCUAAUACAUGAGUAAAACCUCAACUUCGGAAGAGGUGUGUUUAUUAGUAUGAAAACCAUAUAUCUUCGGAUAUAAUAGUGAGUAAUAAUAACCUUUCAUAUCGUAUGUCGUAAGAUAACGAUAGUUCUUUCAAGUUUCUGCCCUAUCAGCUUUCGAUGGUAGUAUAUGGGACUACCAUGGCAGUAACGGGUAACGAAGAAUUUGGGUUCGAUUUCGGAGAGGGAGCCUGAGAGAUGGCUACCACAUCCAAGGAAGGCAGCAGGCGCGUAAAUUACCCAAUCCUGACAUAGGGAGGUAGUGACAAUAAAUCACAAUGCGGAACUUUUAGUUUUGCAAUUGGAUUGAGAACAAUGUACAAAUGUUAUCGAUAAACAA
RNAcentral lists this ribosomal RNA (439 nucleotides) under Blastocystis sp. subtype 5. RNAcentral's name for it is "SSU rRNA". It matches the Rfam family "Eukaryotic small subunit ribosomal RNA", at positions 99 to 547 of the family's 1831-position model. The record is from RNAcentral. Lineage: Eukaryota; Bigyra; Opalinata; Blastocystidae.